GCUAGAUUUAGUGCCCAUCCUUGUCUUUUCAAAGUUGUCUCCUUUUUUUUUUAUAUUAAGGACAUUACUGUUUUACUUGGUGGCAGAAACUU
Non-coding RNA from Brassica napus (rape), 92 nucleotides. Lineage: Eukaryota; Viridiplantae; Streptophyta; Magnoliopsida; Brassicales; Brassicaceae. The record is from Rfam.